CGGGUGAGUAACACGUAAGUAAUCUACCUUCGGAUGGGGAAUAACAGUCGGAAACGACUGCUAAUACCGCAUAAUGCAGCGGCACCUAAUGGUGACAGUUGUUAAAGUAUUUAUACGUCUGGAGAGGAGCUUGCGGCAGAUUAGCUAGUUGGUAAGGUAACGGCUUACCAAGGCUACGAUCUGUAUCCGACCUGAGAGGGUGGUCGGACACACUGACACUGAAUAACGGGUCAG
This 234-nucleotide ribosomal RNA is filed under the name uncultured bacterium. RNAcentral describes it as "partial 16S ribosomal RNA". It matches the Rfam family "Bacterial small subunit ribosomal RNA", at positions 103 to 334 of the family's 1533-position model. The record is from RNAcentral.